Long non-coding RNA from Olea europaea var. sylvestris, 2383 nucleotides. RefSeq lists it as uncharacterized. The transcript has 3 exons. The record is from RefSeq and is a predicted model, not a curated record. Lineage: Eukaryota; Viridiplantae; Streptophyta; Magnoliopsida; Lamiales; Oleaceae.
UCUCUUAUCCUUUAUUUGUCCAAAAUCUUGCCUUAAAUAUUUCUCUAAAAAUCGACUGCCUCCAAAAAAUUUCACCGAAAGUUUCUUCCCUCUUUGCCGCUUCAAUCCGUGGCUACCAAACCUAAUUCCAAUUUAUUUAGCCACAAACUUUUUUGUAGAUCUGGUGGUUGCAAUUCCAAUUUCUUCAAUCGCAUAAUAUCGAUUUGGGUCAACAAAUUUCGGCUAAAUCUACUAUAGAUUUUGAGUUCUUCUUCAAGACGUAUUCAAGGUAUGACCAUCAAUCCUAUAUAUUUUUUUGGUUUAAAUCGAUGAAUUAGAAGUCUUGGGUGAACGGAUUUGAUUUAGUUUUAGCUUCCGGUGGAUGCUGGGGAUUUGAAGUCUUGUGGUUUUUUUCAAAUUUGAUUUGAUUUAGUUUUAUAUUUGUAUUUAGUUUAACGGCAACGUUUGAAACAUAGGUGAACAUAGUGUAUUCAUUUUUGGUUGCUGGUAUAAACUAUUGAAAAAUUCAUUAUUUUUUAUAUACCUGAAAAGAAUCAAUCUUGGUGUAAUAUUUGUGAUUUAUAUUUUGUUGUCUUUUAAUUCACUGUUUUUUCUAUGAUAGUUCUGAUUGUGAAAUUGAGCCUUUAACUUUUGUAUUUAUUAUAAGCAAGAUUGGAAUGCUGGAAUUCGUUCAGGAUUCGGGUACGUCGAAUCUCUGGUUAAAACAAUUUUUAUAAUGAAGGUACAGAAAAAAGUGAAAUAAUAAUAAGAGUUCCUGAGACACAAAUUCUAACAAACACCUCUUUUCUUAUGCACCAGAAUACUGGUUCCAACUACCUAUAUCCUUUUUGCCUCAGCUCUUCCAGUAAUUGCAUUUGGAGAGCAAAUAAGCAGAGAUACUGGUACACUUUUUAACUUAAGUUUGGGUAGAAAAACCCUGAACCCUGACUUGUCAUUAGCUGUCAAAGUGAUCAUGACCACACAAAACAUUAUUUCUGUUUAUAAAGGAUUACAAGUUUUGUACUGGUUUAUUGCUUAGGAUUGCAUAGGCUGUAGAACUUUGGUAUCAACUGCAAUUUGUGGUAAUGUAUAAUACACUUUAUAUUUGGUGGAUAAGCCUCCUUAUACAUACACUUAUACAUGUGCAGUUGCAGUCUAACUUAAAUGUGUUCUUACAUACUUCUAAUUUAUUUUAUUUCCAUUUUUUAGCAUUAAGUUUUGUUGCAUCAGCAUCUUAGUUUAUGAGGACAUGACAUUUGUUUGUUUGAACUUUGAAAUUCAGUUGUAUUUUUCCUUUCAGCAAUGUUAUAUUUUGGUAGUCGCUUUUUCGCACUUUGAUAUUUCAACUUAUGUAAAUAUCCAAAGUGUAUGGCUGUUGGAGCAAUCAUAUAGUGAUUGACUAUGAACUUAAAAAAAUGGCGUAUUUCUAAAGAAUGAUUCAUGAUAUGCGCAUAAAAGAUGGAAAAGCAACAUAUGUCUUCCUAUUGUUAUUGUUAUCAUUGAUGUUGCUUUAAAACUUCUGCAUAUAGUUUGGGCGUGUUAGAAUAGUUGAAUUGGAUUUGUUUCUAAAAUAAGCUAUUCAUAUGGAGUGGGAUAUUUCCUAAUUUUUCUGUCUAUUUUUAGGAUGAUAGGAUGGUUUGCUGUUAAGCUUUCUAGAAGUCAAUUCUUACAUUGUAUUUAUCUUUGUAAUUUCUACUUGGAACAGAAUUAGGUUUCAGUCUUCCCAAAUUUCACUUGGUAUCAAAGCCAUACUAGUUCUGUUUAUAAAGGAUUACAAGUUUUUUUCUGCCAUUUAUAGCAUUUGUAACAUUUGAUAAUCAUCUUGGAAUAUUUCCCAACAGGAGGGUACAACACCCUUGAACCUAUAUGUUCAGGAUGAAUUUCAUCGUUCUGCACAAGUGGGGGUUGGAGGUGUCAAAAGCAUUACAAAUUAUGCUCCGUUAAAAUAUAUGCUGGAUGAUCAUAAUAACCUCGUUUUGAAUCAUUGAACAGAGAAUGGAACAGAGGCUUCUCUGAUGUCUUAUACCUUGAUUCUAUGAAUAAGAGAUAUACUGAAGAGGCCUCUUCUUGUCCUGUCUUCAUUUCGAAGGUUUGAAGCACAUCUCUCAAUAUGUAGCAUCUUUUCUAGGUGUGGGUGUUGCCUGGAGGACUGCAAAUGCCGAAUCAGGAUCAACGAUUGUCAUCUUCGAGUUAGGAGCAAUAGGAUUAAUUUUAUGAUCUUCUACCUGAUAGAAUAGGAGGAUUUGCCGUCUAUCUAAUUCAUGAGGAUAAAGAUUUCUAUUUUUUAGGUGCAUAAUUAUAGAUAUAGAGCAUGCUUGCCAUGCUUUUUUAAAUUUAGAUGUAAUGAUACUUAGUAAAUGGUUUUUAUUUGUUGUUUGAUAAAAUAUUUUUGGAUUUGACGUUA